RNAcentral lists this ribosomal RNA (922 nucleotides) under Calameuta filiformis. RNAcentral's name for it is "eukaryotic LSU rRNA". It matches the Rfam family "Eukaryotic large subunit ribosomal RNA", at positions 375 to 1008 of the family's 3401-position model. The record is from RNAcentral. Lineage: Eukaryota; Metazoa; Arthropoda; Insecta; Hymenoptera; Cephidae.
UUUGAAGAGAGAGUUCAAGAGUACGUGAAACCGUUCAGGGGUAAACCUGAGAAACCCGAAAGAUCGAAAGGGGAGAUUCAUCGUCGGCGAAGCUGGCCUCACGGCGGUUCGUGAUGUCCGCGCGCGAUUUCGGUCGCGGGCGCGGCACGCGUCCGUCAUGUUUACGUCCGGCGGCGUCGGCGUGCACUUCUCCUCUAGUAGGACGUCGCGACCCGUUGGGUGUCGGUCUACGGCCCGGGUGGUAGUCUGUUGUGCGAGGUACCGCGUCGCAAGACGCGAUUGCCUCGCCCAGACCCUCGGAGGCCCGGCCGGCUGCCCGGCGGUAUAAUUCGAAACACGGUAUCGGGCCGCACGCAAUUUAUUGCGCUGCGUCGGACCCGCCGCAAGCGAGUGUCAGUGUUUCCCGUUGUGACGGACCAAGCGCCGUUCUCGGGCCUGACCAGCUGUUGGCAGGCGGUGCUCCCCGACAGGCUCUUUUAACAUAUGAUAUACCGGUCGGCGAUGCUAAUGCUUUGGGUACUUUCAGGACCCGUCUUGAAACACGGACCAAGGAGUCUAACAUGUGCGCGAGUCAUUGGGGACUAUGUGGAAGCCCAAAGGCGCAAUGAAAGUGAAGGUCGGCCUCGCGCCGACCGAGGGAGGAUGGGCCGCGUCACGAUGCGGCUCCGCACUCCCGGGGCGUCUCGUUCUCAUUGCGAGAGGAGGCGCACCCAGAGCGUACACGUUGGGACCCGAAAGAUGGUGAACUAUGCCUGGUCAGGACGAAGUCAGGGGAAACCCUGAUGGAGGUCCGUAGCGAUUCUGACGUGCAAAUCGAUCGUCGGAACUGGGUAUAGGGGCGAAAGACUAAUCGAACCUUCUAGNAGCUGGUUCCCUCCGAAGUUUCCCUCAGGAUAGCUGGCACUCGUACGUUCUUAUGAAC